RNAcentral lists this ribosomal RNA (253 nucleotides) under uncultured bacterium. Its description in RNAcentral is "partial 16S ribosomal RNA". It matches the Rfam family "Bacterial small subunit ribosomal RNA", at positions 524 to 776 of the family's 1533-position model. The record is from RNAcentral.
UACGUAGGGUGCUAGCGUUGUCCGGAAUUAUUGGGCGUAAAGAGCUCGUAGGCGGUUCGUCGCGUCGGCUGUGAAAACCUGAGGCUCAACCUCAGGCCUGCAGUCGAUACGGGCGGACUUGAGUACUGCAGGGGAGACUGGAAUUCCUGGUGUAGCGGUGAAAUGCGCAGAUAUCAGGAGGAACACCGGUGGCGAAGGCGGGUCUCUGGGCCGAUACUGACGCUGAGGAGCGAAAGCGUGGGGAGCGAACAGG